Molecule: ribosomal RNA, 758 nt
Filed under: uncultured bacterium
Lineage: Bacteria
Description: bacterial SSU rRNA
Rfam family: Bacterial small subunit ribosomal RNA
Source: RNAcentral
GAUGAACGCUAGCUACAGGCUUAACACAUGCAAGUCGAGGGGCAUCAGGAAGAAAGCUUGCUUUCUUUGCUGGCGACCGGCGCACGGGUGAGUAACACGUAUCCAACCUGCCCUUUACUCGGGGAUAGCCUUUCGAAAGAAAGAUUAAUACCCGAUAGCAUAAUGAUUCCGCAUGGUUUCAUUAUUAAAGGAUUCCGGUAAAGGAUGGGGAUGCGUUCCAUUAGGUUGUUGGUGAGGUAACGGCCCACCAAGCCUUCGAUGGAUAGGGGUUCUGAGAGGAAGGUCCCCCACAUUGGAACUGAGACACGGUCCAAACUCCUACGGGAGGCAGCAGUGAGGAAUAUUGGUCAAUGGGCGCUAGCCUGAACCAGCCAAGUAGCGUGAAGGAUGAAGGCUCUAUGGGUCGUAAACUUCUUUUAUAUAAGAAUAAAGUGCAGUAUGUAUACUGUUUUGUAUGUAUUAUAUGAAUAAGGAUCGGCUAACUCCGUGCCAGCAGCCGCGGUAAUACGGAGGAUCCGAGCGUUAUCCGGAUUUAUUGGGUUUAAAGGGAGCGUAGGUGGACUGGUAAGUCAGUUGUGAAAGUUUGCGGCUCAACCGUAAAAUUGCAGUUGAUACUGUCAGUCUUGAGUACAGUAGAGGUGGGCGGAAUUCGUGGUGUAGCGGUGAAAUGCUUAGAUAUCACGAAGAACUCCGAUUGCGAAGGCAGCUCACUGGACUGCAACUGACACUGAUGCUCGAAAGUGUAGGUAUCAAACAGG